This 86-nucleotide transfer RNA is filed under the name Bacteriovorax sp. Seq25_V. It matches the Rfam family "tRNA". Rfam says of the family: Transfer RNA (tRNA) molecules are approximately 80 nucleotides in length. The record is from Rfam by way of RNAcentral. Lineage: Bacteria; Pseudomonadati; Bdellovibrionota; Bacteriovoracia; Bacteriovoracales; Bacteriovoracaceae.
GCUCAGAUGGUGGAAUCGGUAGACACCCAGGAUUUAAAAUCCUGUGGGCUUCACGGCCCGUGCGAGUUCAAGUCUCGCUCUGAGCA